CAAAGGCACAACUGAGCAUUCACUAACUGAGCUCUACCCAUGAAGGAGCAAACAUCACCUUCUUGGUAUUUUAAGCAAGUUCAAACAACCUCUAAGAUGUGACCGUACUGUCUACUUCACCCAGCCCACCUUUACCAACCUUGCGAAAUGCCUUAGAAAGCCUGAAAAUUCCCAGUCCUCACAAUGAAUCUCCAAGUAAAAGCUCUUCAAAGAAAGUGGGAUCUUUUUAGAGAGAAAAAUAGGAAGCAACACAACCCGACAAUACCACACACAAUCACGCACGACCACAACCACGACUCCACAGCACUGAAAAGCUGGAGGUACCAGGCCAGAGCCAAAAUCACAAUAUUCUGACGAGGAGGAUGAGAGGAAGAGGGAGAGCCGAAGAGGGGACAGAUUCGACUUGAGUCCAGCUGGUAAGGUGUUUUCUUAACCUCUCCCCUUCCCUCCAUCAGAACCCCAAAAUUUAGACGUCCACAGAUCGAAUGCAGGAGCCUUCUGUGGGCUGACGUGGGAAUCAGGCCAAACUUUGUGGGACUGUAUGAGCGAGAGGAAUGGCGGAUAAAUGGCGAGGCGUAUGGCCGACAUACACUCGUAUCAAAGUUCAAAUACUACGGCAGAAAAAAAAUAGAAUAAAACAUAACAAUAAUAAUAGCAAUAAUCAUCUGCAGCGGUGGGAAACUUCUCCAGGUGGUUGCUUCAGUCCUCCUCGAUCAACAAAUCUUCAUCAUUACAAUUAUUAUUAUUAUUGUUAUUAUCAUAAUAUGGGUGGACUAGUAAAUUUCUUUCUUUCUUUUUUAAUCUUCAUCGUUGUUGAGUUAGGUAAUUUAUUUCUUCAUUUCCGAAAAGUGGCUGUCCAUUAAUCUUGAACUGCUACGGUUUGAUCCUUGCUUGGUGCCUCUGUGGCGUUUGCCUCCUUGGGAGGUUCGGCGGCUGGUGUUGAACUAGGAGCAGGGGUGGCCUCCUUUGCUGGGGCGGGAGCUGCCGCUGCCUCUGUAGGCUUGGGGUCGGGGGAGGCAGCGGGGGCCGCUUCGGCUUUGGCUGCUGGUGCCGCAGGGGCCUCAGUCUUUUUGGCGUCGGCCUCAUCUUUGCUCUCGGCUGCAGGGGUGGGUGCCGCGGCCUUAGCCUCGGCUUCCUUCGCGGCCGGGGCCGAUUCUUUGGCCGGGGCAGGGGCGGCUGGUUUCUCCUCGGCCUUGGCGGGCUCUGCGCUCUUGGGCGCCUCCGUUUUGGGCUCAGCGUUGGCGGCAGGUUUCUCUGCCUCCUUUGCGGCAGGAGCUGCGUUCUUUUCCUCCUCUUUGGGUGCCGCGGCAUCAGCUGCUGGCGCCUCCUUGGCUGCCGUGUCAUUAGCUAUCUCCUUAGCAUCACCGGCAGCUGGAGCCCCGUCCUUGUUGUCUUUCGGUGCUUCGCUCUCCUCUGCUGAGGCCCCCUCUGCUUUGGCAUCCUUGUCUUUAGCCUUGUCAUCGUUUACACUGUACCCCUUCUUCUUUUUGCUGAGCUUGCCUCCCAUUUUGUAUCACUG
Long non-coding RNA from Astatotilapia calliptera (eastern happy), 1519 nucleotides. The record is from Ensembl. Lineage: Eukaryota; Metazoa; Chordata; Actinopteri; Cichliformes; Cichlidae.